This is a long non-coding RNA of Antechinus flavipes (yellow-footed antechinus), 367 nucleotides long. RefSeq lists it as uncharacterized. The transcript is spliced from 3 exons. The record is from RefSeq and is a predicted model, not a curated record. Lineage: Eukaryota; Metazoa; Chordata; Mammalia; Dasyuromorphia; Dasyuridae.
GGAACUACAACCGGCGCCGGUGGCAGGCUCUACCGAGCUGAACUGGUAAUGAGUCAAGUCAACAAGCAUUAAUUAAGUGCCUACUAAUAUACCAGGCACUGUGUUAGGCGCGGGACACAAAAAUGGGCAAUAAACGUGUCCAGAUGACCGACUGUAUGCUCUCUGCGCUGCUCACUCAUGAAGCCGUCUGGAAUGCCUUAGCCCUCCCCACAAACAGGAGCAUCAAUAAUGCAGUUGCGGUUGCAAGUGCUAGGAAGCUGAGGUGAGGUGGAGAUUCCCAUACAGACUCUAAGCCUCAGUGUCCAGACGCACAUCCUGGCUCCCAGUUCCAGUCACACCAGCCCCGCCCCAGCGGCUUCUCCAGCUG